Molecule: long non-coding RNA, 482 nt
Organism: Mauremys reevesii (Reeves's turtle)
Lineage: Eukaryota; Metazoa; Chordata; Testudines; Geoemydidae
Exons: 2
Source: RefSeq, a predicted model, not a curated record
UGGAAAAUUAGAAGGUGCAGUAACUUAAGUGAGCUAAACGGGGACAAAAAGAUGCUGGACAACAAUUGAAAUUUCAAAUCAAGAUAAUUUUUUAAAUCAUCUGUAACUCAAAACCAGUUUGCAUUUUCUUCAGUCUGCGGUGAACCAGCUAAGCAGGGGACUACAACUCCCAUCAGCCCCCUCCCUGCUGAACUUCCCUUUCUCCAGGCUAGGGAGGAGGAAGGACCUUCCUUGACCCAGGAACUGACAGGGCACUCUUGGGAAGGAGCAGCUGCAGGAAACUGGAAGCAGAGAGGCAUCCCCAGGAACUAUCUGCAGAGUCAUGCAUGGCACAGACUGUGACUGUCAGAAAUCCCACCUAGUCCAGAACCUUAACACACAAGAACCAAAAGCAGAGAGACGAAGCAGACUGCUGCCUAUGGCAGAGAGGUGCAGCACAUCCCAUCUUGUUCUAGGCUGGCCCUUUGCAGACUGACUGCUGA